UAUACCCUUAGCCCUUGUUUGGUUGGGGGUUAAGAGGUGGAAUAAUCCCUUAACCUCCAUUUUAUCCCCAAACACUUCAAAAAAUAGGUGGGCACCUAACCCCACUUCAAAUAAAUUAUUCCAGGUUAGCUAACCCCACAUAACCCCACCAAAUUCCAACCAAACACUAUUUUCUAUUCAUAGUAACCCACUAUUUUUCUUAUCACACCUACUCCAACCAAUCAUUAUCCUUCUUUAUCAAUCAUUAUCUUCUUAUCCCACCUACCCAACCAAACACUAUUUUUCAUUAUUCUAAACUAACUCCAACCCCCAACCAAACACAAAAAAACUUUAACCCCACUUUAAUCCUGAACUUAACUCUAUCCCUGGAAUAGCUACUUUUUCCUUAACCCCGAACCAAACGGAGGCUUAAGACUUACACAAAAACAUAGUGAUUUUUAAUAAAACAAUUUAAAAUUUAUAGAUAAUAGAUAAUAAAUAUAGGGUUAAUUUCAUACAGGUUCGUGAAAUAUGCUAUCCCUACAAAAGUUCUAAUACUUUCAAAUAUAUCCCUACCGUUAGAAUUCGUUAAAAAAAUUUAGUUAAUCAUAGAUUAAGUACUUAAUUUUGGUUUUUUUUUUUUUGCAUUUUUAUACUCUUAUAUUUUGCUGUUAUAUUUUCGGAGGAAUGUAUUUGUGAUGGCAAAAUUAAAAAUAUACGGUUCUCUAACGGAUGUUGUGGGAACAACAUCGAGUGCAUUAAUAUUUU
RNAcentral lists this long non-coding RNA (747 nucleotides) under Ananas comosus (pineapple). RNAcentral describes it as "long non-coding RNA (ACOM_LNC004334)". The record is from RNAcentral. Lineage: Eukaryota; Viridiplantae; Streptophyta; Magnoliopsida; Poales; Bromeliaceae.